GUGGGGAAUAUUGGACAAUGGGCGAAAGCCUGAUCCAGCCAUGCCGCGUGAGUGAUGAAGGCCUUAGGGUUGUAAAGCUCUUUCAGCUGGGAAGAUAAUGACGGUACCAGCAGAAGAAGCCCCGGCUAACUCCGUGCCAGCAGCCGCGGUAAUACGGAGGGGGCUAGCGUUGUUCGGAAUUACUGGGCGUAAAGCGCGCGUAGGCGGACCAGAAAGUUGGAGGUGAAAUCCCAGGGCUCAACCUUGGAACUGCCUUCAAAACUCCUGGUCUGGAGUUCGAGAGAGGUGAGUGGAAUUCCGAGUGUAGAGGUGAAAUUCGUAGAUAUUCGGAGGAACACCAGUGGCGAAGGUGGCUCACUGGCUCGAUACUGACGCUGAGGUGCGAAAGCGUGGGGAGCAAACAGGAUUAGAAACCCGGGUAGUCC
Molecule: ribosomal RNA, 425 nt
Filed under: uncultured bacterium
Lineage: Bacteria
Description: partial 16S ribosomal RNA
Rfam family: Bacterial small subunit ribosomal RNA
Source: RNAcentral